ACGAACGCUGGCGGCGUGCUUAACCCAUGCAAGUCGAACGGUAAGGCUCCAGCUUGCUGGGGUACACGAGUGGCGAACGGGUGAGUAACACGUGGGUGACCUGCCCUGCACUUCGGGAUAAGCCUGGGAAACUGGGUCUAAUACCGGAUAGGACCAUGGUGUGGAUACUGUGGUGGAAAGUUUUUUCGGUGUGGAUGGGCCCGCGGCCUAUCAGCUUGUUGGUGGGGUAAUGGCCUACCAAGGCGGCGACGGGUAGCCGGCCUGAGAGGGUGGACGGCCACAUUGGGACUGAGACACGGCCCAGACUCCUACGGGAGGCAGCAGUGGGGAAUAUUGCACAAUGGGCGGAAGCCUGAUGCAGCGACGCCGCGUGGGGGAUGACGGCCUUCGGGUUGUAAACUCCUUUCACCAUCGACGAAGGGUUUCUGACGGUAGAUGGAGAAGAAGCACCGGCUAACUACGUG
Molecule: ribosomal RNA, 464 nt
Filed under: uncultured bacterium
Lineage: Bacteria
Description: partial 16S ribosomal RNA
Rfam family: Bacterial small subunit ribosomal RNA
Source: RNAcentral